RNAcentral lists this ribosomal RNA (748 nucleotides) under Vibrio sp. ANG.HOH. Its description in RNAcentral is "bacterial SSU rRNA". It matches the Rfam family "Bacterial small subunit ribosomal RNA", at positions 8 to 745 of the family's 1533-position model. The record is from RNAcentral. Lineage: Bacteria; Pseudomonadati; Pseudomonadota; Gammaproteobacteria; Vibrionales; Vibrionaceae.
AGAGUUUGAUCAUGGCUCAGAUUGAACGCUGGCGGCAGGCCUAACACAUGCAAGUCGAGCGGUAACAGAAAUUAGCUUGCUAAUUUGCUGACGAGCGGCGGACGGGUGAGUAAUGCCUGGGAAUAUGCCUUGAUGUGGGGGAUAACUAUUGGAAACGAUAGCUAAUACCGCAUAAUGUCUUCGGACCAAAGAGGGGGAUCUUCGGACCUCUCGCGUCAAGAUUAGCCCAGGUGAGAUUAGCUAGUUGGUGGGGUAAGAGCUCACCAAGGCGACKAUCUCUAGCUGGUCUGAGAGGAUGAUCAGCCACACUGGAACUGAGACACGGUCCAGACUCCUACGGGAGGCAGCAGUGGGGAAUAUUGCACAAUGGGCGAAAGCCUGAUGCAGCCAUGCCGCGUGUAUGAAGAAGGCCUUCGGGUUGUAAAGUACUUUCAGUCGUGAGGAAGGGUGUGUAGUUAAUAGCUGCACAUCUUGACGUUAGCGACAGAAGAAGCACCGGCUAACUCCGUGCCAGCAGCCGCGGUAAUACGGAGGGUGCGAGCGUUAAUCGGAAUUACUGGGCGUAAAGCGCAUGCAGGUGGUUCAUUAAGUCAGAUGUGAAAGCCCGGGGCUCAACCUCGGAACCGCAUUUGAAACUGGUGAACUAGAGUGCUGUAGAGGGGGGUAGAAUUUCAGGUGUAGCGGUGAAAUGCGUAGAGAUCUGAAGGAAUACCAGUGGCGAAGGCGGCCCCCUGGACAGACACUGACA